AGAGUUUGAUCAUGGCUCAGAUUGAACGCUGGCGGCAGGCCUAACACAUGCAAGUCGAGCGGUAGCACAGAGAGCUUGCUCUCGGGUGACGAGCGGCGGACGGGUGAGUAAUGUCUGGGAAACUGCCUGAUGGAGGGGGAUAACUACUGGAAACGGUAGCUAAUACCGCAUAACGUCGCAAGACCAAAGUGGGGGACCUUCGGGCCUCAUGCCAUCAGAUGUGCCCAGAUGGGAUUAGCUAGUAGGUGGGGUAACGGCUCACCUAGGCGACGAUCCCUAGCUGGUCUGAGAGGAUGACCAGCCACACUGGAACUGAGACACGGUCCAGACUCCUACGGGAGGCAGCAGUGGGGAAUAUUGCACAAUGGGCGCAAGCCUGAUGCAGCCAUGCCGCGUGUGUGAAGAAGGCCUUCGGGUUGUAAAGCACUUUCAGCGGGGAGGAAGGCGUUAAGGUUAAUAACCUUGGCGAUUGACGUUACCCGCAGAAGAAGCACCGGCUAACUCCGUGCCAGCAGCCGCGGUAAUACGGAGGGUGCAAGCGUUAAUCGGAAUUACUGGGCGUAAAGCGCACGCAGGCGGUCUGUCAAGUCGGAUGUGAAAUCCCCGGGCUCAACCUGGGAACUGCAUUCGAAACUGGCAGGCUAGAGUCUUGUAGAGGGGGGUAGAAUUCCAGGUGUAGCGGUGAAAUGCGUAGAGAUCUGGAGGAAUACCGGUGGCGAAGGCGGCCCCCUGGACAAAGACUGACGCUCAGGUGCGAAAGCGUGGGGAGCAAACAGGAUUAGAUACCCUGGUAGUCCACGCCGUAAACGAUGUCGAUUUGGAGGUUGUGCCCUUGAGGCGUGGCUUCCGGAGCUAACGCGUUAAAUCGACCGCCUGGGGAGUACGGCCGCAAGGUUAAAACUCAAAUGAAUUGACGGGGGCCCGCACAAGCGGUGGAGCAUGUGGUUUAAUUCGAUGCAACGCGAAGAACCUUACCUGGCCUUGACAUCCACAGAACUUUCCAGAGAUGGAUUGGUGCCUUCGGGAACUGUGAGACAGGUGCUGCAUGGCUGUCGUCAGCUCGUGUUGUGAAAUGUUGGGUUAAGUCCCGCAACGAGCGCAACCCUUAUCCUUUGUUGCCAGCGGUCCGGCCGGGAACUCAAAGGAGACUGCCAGUGAUAAACUGGAGGAAGGUGGGGAUGACGUCAAGUCAUCAUGGCCCUUACGACCAGGGCUACACACGUGCUACAAUGGCAUAUACAAAGAGAAGCGACCUCGCGAGAGCAAGCGGACCUCAUAAAGUAUGUCGUAGUCCGGAUUGGAGUCUGCAACUCGACUCCAUGAAGUCGGGAAUCGCUAGUAAU
This 1343-nucleotide ribosomal RNA is filed under the name Klebsiella sp. enrichment culture clone SRC_DSA16. Its description in RNAcentral is "bacterial SSU rRNA". It matches the Rfam family "Bacterial small subunit ribosomal RNA", at positions 8 to 1342 of the family's 1533-position model. Lineage: Bacteria; Pseudomonadati; Pseudomonadota; Gammaproteobacteria; Enterobacterales; Enterobacteriaceae. The record is from RNAcentral.